This 505-nucleotide ribosomal RNA is filed under the name Enterobacter hormaechei. RNAcentral's name for it is "bacterial SSU rRNA". It matches the Rfam family "Bacterial small subunit ribosomal RNA", at positions 223 to 720 of the family's 1533-position model. Lineage: Bacteria; Pseudomonadati; Pseudomonadota; Gammaproteobacteria; Enterobacterales; Enterobacteriaceae. The record is from RNAcentral.
AGAUGUGCCCAGAUGGGAUUAGCUAGUAGGUGGGGUAACGGCUCACCUAGGCGACGAUCCCUAGCUGGUCUGAGAGGAUGACCAGCCACACUGGAACUGAGACACGGUCCAGACUCCUACGGGAGGCAGCAGUGGGGAAUAUUGCACAAUGGGCGCAAGCCUGAUGCAGCCAUGCCGCGUGUAUGAAGAAGGCCUUCGGGUUGUAAAGUACUUUCAGCGGGGAGGAAGGCGUUGAGGUUAAUAACCUCAGCAAUUGACGUUACCCGCAGAAGAAGCACCGGCUAACUCCGUGCCAGCAGCCGCGGUAAUACGGAGGGUGCAAGCGUUAAUCGGAAUUACUGGGCGUAAAGCGCACGCAGGCGGUCUGUCAAGUCGGAUGUGAAAUCCCCGGGCUCAACCUGGGAACUGCAUUCGAAACUGGCAGGCUAGAGUCUUGUAGAGGGGGGUAGAAUUCCAGGUGUAGCGGUGAAAUGCGUAGAGAUCUGGAGGAAUACCGGUGGCGAAG